UAUACAUGACUCUGCGCAUUCAAUAAGCGGAGGAAAAGAAACUAACAAGGAUUCCCUUAGUAACGGCGAGUGAAGCGGGAAGAGCUCAAAUUUGAAAUCUUCAAGGUUUUACCUUGACGAAUUGUAGUUUAAAGAAGUGUUUUCUGCUGAAGUUUUGGUAAAAGUUCUUUGGAAUAGGACAUCAUAGAGGGUGAGAAUCCCGUAUUUGACCAUUAUUUUCAGCUUUGUGAUACACUUUCAAAGAGUCGGAUUGUUUGGGAAUGCAGUCCAAAAUGGGUGGUAAAUUUCAUCUAAAGCUAAAUAUUGGCGAGAGACCGAUAGCGAACAAGUACCGUGAGGGAAAGAUGAAAAGAACUUUGAAAAGAGAGUUAAACAGUACGUGAAAUUGUCCAAAAGGGAAGCGUUUGACACCAGUGUUGUUUUCUCGAAAAUCAAUUAAAAAUGGCUCGAUUUUGUAUUGCUUGAGACCUUAAAAGCUCACUGUACAUUUUUCGUGUCUUUUUUAAUGCACUUUUCGUUUGACAAGUCAACAUCAGUUUCUUUUGUUGUAAAAGGGUCAUUGGAAGGUGGCUUUCUUUUCGGAGAAAGUGUUUAUAGCCAUUGGCCUCUGCAAUCGGAGAGACUGAGGUCUGCAGCGUAGACUCUUCGGGGUUAGAUACAUUUGUGCUAAGUUAUAGCUUUUUAUAGACAACUUGUUGACUAUAAUUAGUCUUGUAGCUUACUCGCUUAUGCUAUUUUACCUACGCUUAGGAUGUUGAAGAUGUAGCACAUCAU
This 774-nucleotide ribosomal RNA is filed under the name uncultured Neocallimastigales. RNAcentral's name for it is "partial large subunit ribosomal RNA". It matches the Rfam family "Eukaryotic large subunit ribosomal RNA", at positions 20 to 620 of the family's 3401-position model. Lineage: Eukaryota; Fungi; Neocallimastigomycota; Neocallimastigomycetes; Neocallimastigales. The record is from RNAcentral.